AUGGUCGCCCUGAGUAACGUUAGCUCCACCCAGGUGCUUCCUGAUCAGUCCUACAUGAGGUUCACCUGGUCUGGGAAUGAAGAGCUUAACAGCUCCGGUGCAGCAUCAGAAGGGAGAGGCUUCAGGCAUGGGGACUUGGGUCGAGUGACCCCCACCCUGACGGUGCUGCCCCCCUCCAGUGAGGAGCUGCAGCAGGAGAAGGUCACAGUCCUGUGCCUGGCCAACAAGGGCUUCCCCUCAGACUGGAGUCUGGCCUGGAAGGUGGAGGGCAGCAGCAGCAGCAGCAGCUGGGAGGAGAGCAGGAGCCCCGGGGUGCUGGAGAAGGACGGCCUCUACAGCUGGAGCAGCACCCUGAGGCUCCCUGCAGACCAGUGGAGCAAGCUGGGCUCUGUGACCUGUGAGGCUACCCAGGGCUCCCAGACUCCGCUCUCAGAGACACUGAGGAGAGACCAGUGUUCCCAGUCCUGACCUGACUCACUGGGACUCUGCUACUGGUUUUACUC
Non-coding RNA from Seriola aureovittata, 503 nucleotides. The record is from the annotation of a RefSeq genome assembly. NCBI's taxonomy places the organism in Eukaryota, Metazoa, Chordata, Actinopteri, Carangiformes, Carangidae.